GCAGAGCAUCCUACGGGAGGCAGCAGUGGGGAAUAUUGCACAAUGGGCGCAAGCCUGAUGCAGCCAUGCCGCGUGUAUGAAGAAGGCCUUCGGGUUGUAAAGUACUUUCAGCAGUGAGGAAGGUGGGUAUGUUAAUAGCAUACUCAUUUGACGUUAGCUGCAGAAGAAGCACCGGCUAACUCCGUGCCAGCAGCCGCGGUAAUACGGAGGGUGCGAGCGUUAAUCGGAAUUACUGGGCGUAAAGCGCAUGCAGGUGGUUUGUUAAGUCAGAUGUGAAAGCCCGGGGCUCAACCUCGGAAUUGCAUUUGAAACUGGCAAACUAGAGUACUGUAGAGGGGGUAGAAUUUCAGGUGUAGCGGUGAAAUGCGUAGAGAUCUGAAGGAAUACCCGGUGGCGAAGGCGGCCCCCUGGACAGAUACUGACACUCAGAUGCGAAAGCGUGGGGAGCAAACAGGAUUAGAUACCCUGGUAG
This 472-nucleotide ribosomal RNA is filed under the name uncultured bacterium. Its description in RNAcentral is "bacterial SSU rRNA". It matches the Rfam family "Bacterial small subunit ribosomal RNA", at positions 329 to 793 of the family's 1533-position model. The record is from RNAcentral.